This 424-nucleotide ribosomal RNA is filed under the name Verrucomicrobiota bacterium. RNAcentral's name for it is "Verrucomicrobia bacterium partial 16S ribosomal RNA". It matches the Rfam family "Bacterial small subunit ribosomal RNA", at positions 355 to 776 of the family's 1533-position model. Lineage: Bacteria; Pseudomonadati; Verrucomicrobiota. The record is from RNAcentral.
UGAGGAAUAUUGGUCAAUGGGCGAGAGCCUGAACCAGCCAAGUAGCGUGCAGGAUGACGGCCCUAUGGGUUGUAAACUGCUUUUAUGUGGGGAUAAAGUGCGUGACGUGUCAUGCAUUGCAGGUACCACAUGAAUAAGGACCGGCUAAUUCCGUGCCAGCAGCCGCGGUAAUACGGAAGGUCCGGGCGUUAUCCGGAUUUAUUGGGUUUAAAGGGAGCGUAGGCUGUCUAUUAAGCGUGUUGUGAAAUAUACCGGCUCAACCGGUGGCUUGCAGCGCGAACUGGUCGACUUGAGUAUGCAGGAAGUAGGCGGAAUUCAUGGUGUAGCGGUGAAAUGCUUAGAUAUCAUGACGAACUCCGAUUGCGCAGGCAGCUUACUGUAGCAUAACUGACGCAGAUGCUCGAAAGUGCGGGUAUCAAACAGG